AAUCAGAGAUGUGCAAUCACAGAAUGGGUAGGGUUGGAAGGGACCACAGGGGGUCAUCUGCUCCAACCUCCCUGUUCAAGCAGGGCCAUCCUAGAGCACAUAGCACAGGAUUGUGUCCUGACAGUUCUUGAAUAUGUCCAGUGAGGGAGAGUCCACAACCUCUCUGGACAACCUGUUCCAGUGCAUGGUCACCCACACUAGUAAAGAAUUCUUCCUCGUGUUCAGGUGGAACUUUCUGUGCAUCAGUUUCUGUCCACUGCCUCACAUCCUAGUGCUAGGUACCACCGAGAGGAACCUGGCUCCAUCUCUUCCCCCCUCACCCCCCCACUUAAGACAUUUAUACACAUUAAUGAGGUCCCCUCUCAGUAGUCUCUUCUCGAGGCUGAACAGGCCCAAGUCCCUCAGCCUUUCCUCCUA
Long non-coding RNA from Corvus hawaiiensis (hawaiian crow), 417 nucleotides. RefSeq lists it as uncharacterized. NCBI's taxonomy places the organism in Eukaryota, Metazoa, Chordata, Aves, Passeriformes, Corvidae. The record is from RefSeq and is a predicted model, not a curated record. The transcript is spliced from 3 exons.